RNAcentral lists this ribosomal RNA (489 nucleotides) under uncultured bacterium. Its description in RNAcentral is "partial 16S ribosomal RNA". It matches the Rfam family "Bacterial small subunit ribosomal RNA", at positions 28 to 507 of the family's 1533-position model. The record is from RNAcentral.
GAUGAACGCUAGCGGGAGGCCUAACACAUGCAAGCCGAGCGGGAUUUGUUGGUUAGCUUGCUAACUAACAAUGAGAGCGGCGUACGGGUGCGUAGCACGUGUGCAACCUGCCUUUAUCUGGGGGAUAGCCUUUCGAAAGGAAGAUUAAUACCCCAUAACAUAUUGAUUGGCAUCAGUUAAUAUUGAAAGCUCCGGCGGAUAGAGAUGGGCACGCGUAAGAUUAGCUAGUUGGUGAGGUAACGGCUCACCAAGGCUGCGAUCUUUAGGGGGCCUGAGAGGGUGAUCCCCCACACUGGUACUGAGACACGGACCAGACUCCUACGGGAGGCAGCAGUGAGGAAUAUUGGACAAUGGGUGAGAGCCUGAUCCAGCCAUCCCGCGUGAAGGACUAAGGACCUAUGGUUUGUAAACUUCUUUUAUACAGGGAUAAACCUACUCUCGUGAGGGUAGCUGAAGGUACUGUUUGAAUAAGCACCGGCUAACUCCGUG